GAUGAACGCUGGCGGCGUGCCUAAUACAUGCAAGUCGAGCGAACGGACGAGAAGCUUGCUUCUCUGAUGUUAGCGGCGGACGGGUGAGUAACGCGUGGAUAACCUACCUAUAAGACUGGGAUAACUUCGGGAAACCGUAGCUAAUACCGGAUAUAUUUUUGACCGCCUUGGUUCAAAAGGAAAAAACGGUUUUGCUGUAACUAUUGAUGGAUCCGCGCUGCAUUAGCUAGUUGGUAAGGUAACGGCGUACCAAGGCAACGAUGCAUAGCCGACCUGAGAGGGUGAUCGGCCACACUGGAACUGAGACACGGUCCAGACUCCUACGGGAGGCAGCAGUAGGGAAUCUUCCGCAAUGGGCGAAAGCCUGACGGAGCAACGCCGCGUGAGUGAUGAAGGUCUUCGGAUCGUAAAACUCUGUUAUUAGGGAAGAACAUAUGUGUAAGUAACUGUGCACAUCUUGACGGUACCUAAUCAGAAAGCCACGGCUAACUACGUG
RNAcentral lists this ribosomal RNA (496 nucleotides) under uncultured bacterium. RNAcentral's name for it is "partial 16S ribosomal RNA". It matches the Rfam family "Bacterial small subunit ribosomal RNA", at positions 28 to 507 of the family's 1533-position model. The record is from RNAcentral.